RNAcentral lists this ribosomal RNA (119 nucleotides) under Pteropus alecto (black flying fox). The record is from RNAcentral. Lineage: Eukaryota; Metazoa; Chordata; Mammalia; Chiroptera; Pteropodidae.
GUCUAUGGCCAUGGGACCCUGGACAAGCCCAGUCCCAUCUGAUCUUGGAAGCUAAGCAGGGUCGGGCCUGGUUAGUAGUUGGAUGGGAGACCACCUAGGAAGACCAAGUGCUGUAGGCA